Molecule: unclassified non-coding RNA, 197 nt
Filed under: fungal sp.
Lineage: Eukaryota; Fungi
Description: partial internal transcribed spacer region
Rfam family: Eukaryotic small subunit ribosomal RNA (bases 1-46)
Source: RNAcentral
AAGUCGUAACAAGGUUUCCGUAGGUGAACCUGCGGAAGGAUCAUUCUUGAAUUUUGCUUUGCAAAAUACUCUGUGAACUGUUUUAAUAGCCCAUUGGUGUGUUAAACACCGAUUGGGUCAAAUAAUCAACAAUAAUAUUUAUAUCGUUACUUAAACUAUAAUAAAUACAACUUUUAGCAACGGAUCUCUAGGCUCUC